This is a long non-coding RNA of Chelonia mydas (Green sea turtle), 2430 nucleotides long. RefSeq lists it as uncharacterized. The transcript has 3 exons. The record is from RefSeq and is a predicted model, not a curated record. Lineage: Eukaryota; Metazoa; Chordata; Testudines; Cheloniidae.
ACCUUAGAGACUAACCAAUUUAUUUGAGCAUGAGCUUUCAGCUCAUGCUCAAAUAAAUUGGUUAGUCUCUAAGGUGCCACAAGUCCUCCUUUUCUUCUUUGGGAUGGUGUGACUUUAAGGCUGACUGAUUUCCUGGGUUAGUCUCAAAACCUUUUUUUUGAUUCACCAGGGGAUAUUGUUUUUGUCAACUGUUAUCUUGCCUCUGUCUAGCACCUUAGUGUUUUUUUCACAUGUUGCAAUUCGUGUGUAGAAAAAUAUUCACUAAUGACCAGAUUUUUAAAGAUUAAAAGCAUCUAGAUGCUUUUGAAAAUCCCUCUAGUUGCCUAAAUACCUUUAAAGAUUUGGCUCUGUCUUGUAUAAAAAUCCUUCUCAAAGGCAAUUUUAUACUGUAAUUUUUAUUAAAUAUAGAUCUAAAAGCCCAAGAUAAAUUGGCAACCAUAAGAAUGAAAAAAUCACGAGUUAUACACAUGAAAGUCAUGAAAUUAAAAAAAUAAAUACAUUUUUGGUUUCUUUUAAUUUGCCUUUUUGUUUCUGAGUCUUUAGGGUACAUCAACUUCAUACUUCUGUUACCUCUCCCAAAGAAUUUGUAUACUUAGAACAGUUGUACUUUCCUACAAUAGUUAAUAUCAUUUUGGGUAUCCAGUAACGUGAUUCCCCCCCACCCCCCGGUCAGUUGAUCAGGGGAACUAGUUUUAAGUGCAAUUUACUACCCCGAUGAGCCAUAUGAUAGAAAAAUGAUUGUAAAAGUAUUCUUUUGUCUGGUGUUCUUCAGGGAAAGGGGAAACUCCAUCUUUCCCCAUCCACCAGUACAAACCCGGAUGAUUUUCUGAAACCAUAAAACAAGAUGUUUGGUCAUCUUUAGUUUGGCCACCAAAUCCUCUUUUCCCUUGCUAAAAAUACAAAUAUGACCACAAAUGAGGGACUAAAAAGAAAACUGUCUAAAAUACUGUAGUGGAGAAAUACUAAUUAUACUGAAUCACUGCUUUAUAAACCCCACAGCUGCUGGCUUUGAUGCUGAAUCAGCUGGUCCAUUUCUUCUUCUUUCUGGUGCAUUUUACAUUUAAAUAGAACCCUUCAUUCUAGAAUGCUCUGCUCAUUUCACCUAUACAGUGCUCAUUUCAUCUGCUGUUGAAGUGCAGGCAGUUUUGGAACCAGACAUGCCAGCUGUUUAAAAGUGCACAAUUGAAAACACAGGAAGUAUUUGGUUAGGCAGAAUGUCAUUAGAGUUUAUUCAUAACAGCCAGGUGAACACCUGUGCUUUUGUGAAACAUGCACUCGGAUAAUUAAUGACUGCAGUGGUCAUGCUCUGGUUUUAAUAUUUUAGCCAAGACAGAAAAAAAUCCAACAAGUAUGGGGGCAUAGUUUCCAUGCUUACACAUGGGCAAGAGUGUCAUUUAAUGAAUUACAAAUAUCACUUUCUGUUAUACUCUACUUGUUACUUAGAAAUCUCCUAACUAUUUAGCCCAACUCAGCUUGGCAAGAUCCUGCCAGCACUUACACACAAGUAACGUUAUGCACAUGAGUAGCUCCAGAACUCGCUGGCAUUAGUUUUGUGUAUACAGCUACUCACAUGCAUAAAUGUUUGCAGUUCUGCGGCCUUAGAUUGUGCGAUCUGUAGGAUCACAGCCAGAGCAGUAUGAGCAUAAACAUUAAGAAUUAAUCAUUAACACUGAAGUGGUGGCUAUGAAGUAAAUUACAUAGUAUGUAUUUUGGUUUGCAGUUAAUAAAAGCUUUGUGUCUUUAACGAUUUUUUACAGUUUUUUAAGAUGUCUUUAUUUCUCCAAAAAAUAAUGCUAUAAAAACCAUGCUAAAAGUACAUACAAAUGCUAGUUGCACCAAAAUGCACAUAUUCUAUUAAUAUAAUUGUUUGUUAUUUUAUUAUAGUUUGUUUGAGGUACUGCUCAGAUACGUUAAGCACUUUCUAAACAUUCAACAAGGGAUAUUCACUGCCCAAAAGAGCUGUCAUGUAUGCAUGUUAGGUAAAGCAAAACAAAUUUUCCCCCAGUAGAUAUUGGUGUACAGUUAUGUCUUUCUCAAUAGUGCAUACAUUUUUCUACCUAAAUACAGUUAAUAUAUCUUGAACUAUCUCUUGCAAUAAAUGAUCUCUUUCACCAAAUCUCUACUGUUUCAAGACUAAGUAAUCUGCUCAGGACUAAUCCAAUUUAAUGAACAGUAAUCAAGGAAUAAAGCCAUUCAGCUGACACGUCUAUCAACAGCCUAACCCUGAGAGUUAGGCAAAAAAGCACCAUCACUACUGGACUUGGCAUUGCUCCUGAAUAAAAAGGGCGUAAACUCAGCCUAGUCAAGUCAAUCAUCAAAGCUAAGUGCUGUGGAUGCUACAUACCAAGCCUGGGAAGUGAAAGACUAAAGAUUUUGCAAUUGGAAUUCAGUUAACAAUUCUGUUGACGUGGAAGCCAGGCCAGAAGUCAC